GAUGAACGCUGACAGAAUGCUUAACACAUGCAAGUCGAUGGGGAAGUGGUGCUUGCACCAUGGUAACCAUGGCGGACGGGUGAGUAACGCGUAAGGAACUUGCCUGCGGGACUGGGAUAACAGCAGGAAACUGCUGAUAAUACCGGAUAAGGUCAUUAAGCUGCAUAGCUUAGUGAUGAAAGGAGACGCCUGCGGAGAGCCUUGCGUCCUAUUAGCUAGUUGGAGGGGUAACGGCCCACCAAGGCGAAGAUAGGUAGCCGGCCUGAGAGGGUGGACGGCCACAAGGGGACUGAGAUACGGCCCUUACUCCUACGGGAGGCAGCAGUGGGGAAUAUUGGACAAUGGGGGCAACCCUGAUCCAGCAAUUCUGUGUGCACGAAGACGGUUUUCGGAUUGUAAAGUGCUUUCAGCAGGGAAGAAGGAAGUGACGGUACCUGCAGAAGAAGCGACGGCUAAAUACG
RNAcentral lists this ribosomal RNA (461 nucleotides) under uncultured bacterium. Its description in RNAcentral is "partial 16S ribosomal RNA". It matches the Rfam family "Bacterial small subunit ribosomal RNA", at positions 28 to 505 of the family's 1533-position model. The record is from RNAcentral.